UAGACACACACACAGAUCCAAGUAGAAAAGUCAAAUAGGUAGUUGAAAUCCAGUGUUCCCAGGGUAUGUGGGCUAAAUAUAUUUUGGGCUUCUAUCAGCAUAUAGAUACUAGACUAAAUAAGAUCAGGAGUCACUGCAGAUAGAGCAGGGGUCCAGAAUUGGACAUUCCAAAUUUAGAGGUUGGAAGAAUGAGGAAGGACCAGUGGACUUGAAGAGCAGCAAGGCAGAAGUGAGGUACUGAAAGAUGGGAAGUUCAUAAGGAAGAAAGUGAGCAAUUCAUCAAAUUCUAACACGGGAUUGAAAAUUGAUCACAGGAAGUGGUUGCAUGAGGCUGGAGUAAAGGGAGUUGCGGACAAGGCAGCAUGGUGACCAGCAGAGUGAGGAAACGAGAUGAAAUAGAGAAAUAAAGACCAGAUGUGUCUCAGUCUGUCACCUCAGAGACAUGACUCGGGGCUGAAGAGUGGGGAAGGGCCCUGGGUCCCAGCCACAUGGUAUCACCAAUGUUGCUAAGCACUGCUUUUAAGACUCCCAGGGCACUGCAUGAAAAAACAGCAACUGGCCCCUUCCAUAAUCAGCAAUUUGCAAUAUACAGUGUUCUACAAGAUAGAAUGCCACAACAGAUGAUUAUCUGGUCAAAAACAGUCUUUGUACAGGAAUAGGUUAAAGCAAGAGUUCUUUGAUUAUUGUUCUGGCAGGAAAAGGCAAAGUGAAAAACAAUUCCAGAAAAAAAAGUUACAAAGCA
This 742-nucleotide non-coding RNA is filed under the name Pongo abelii (Sumatran orangutan). Lineage: Eukaryota; Metazoa; Chordata; Mammalia; Primates; Hominidae. The record is from RNAcentral.